RNAcentral lists this unclassified non-coding RNA (418 nucleotides) under soil metagenome. RNAcentral's name for it is "partial contains 5.8S ribosomal RNA, internal transcribed spacer 2, and large subunit ribosomal RNA". The stretch from base 1 to 120 matches the Rfam family "5.8S ribosomal RNA", at positions 35 to 154 of the family's 154-position model. The record is from RNAcentral.
GAUGAAGAACGUAGCGAAAUGCGAUAAGUAACGUGAAUUGCAGAAUUCAGUGAAUCAUCGAAUCUUUGAACGCAUCUUGCGCUCCUUGGUAUUCCUUGGAGCAUGCCUGUUUGAGUAUCAUGAGCAAAUCUCAAAGUCAAUUCCUUUUGUUGAUUCAAUUGGUUUUGCUUUGGACUUGGAGGCCUUGCAGAUUUCACAGUCUGCUCCUCUUAAAUGCAUUAGCUGGAUCUCAGUAAUUAUGCUUGGUUCCACUCGGCGUGAUAAGUAUCACUCGCUGAGGACACUGUUAAAAAGGUGGCCAGGAAAAUACUGAUUGAACCGCUUCUAACGGUCUAUUAAGUUAGACAAUUACCCUUAAGUUUGAUCUCAAAUCAGGUAGGACUACCCGCUGAACUUAAGCAUAUCAAUAAGCGGAGGA